AAGAACCCCCUUUGACGUCUUGAAACACGGACCAAGGAGUGUAACAUGUCCGCGAGUCACUGGGUUGCAACACCCAAGGGCGUAAUGAAAGUGAAGUCCAGUUCGGCUGGCUGACAUGGGACCCUUUGGCUCGCCAGAGGUGCACCAUGGUCCCGUUCAUACUGCAUUGUCAGUAGAGCGGAGAUUGAGCGUACACGUUGGGACCCGAAAGAUGGUGAACUAUGCCUGACCAGGAUGAAGCCAGAGGAAACUCUGGUGGAGGUCCAUAGCGAUUCUGACGUGCAAAUCGAUCGUCGGACUUGGGUAUAGGGGCGAAAGACUAAUCGAACCAUCUAGUACUGGU
RNAcentral lists this ribosomal RNA (343 nucleotides) under Metachromadora sp. MKL1. RNAcentral's name for it is "eukaryotic LSU rRNA". It matches the Rfam family "Eukaryotic large subunit ribosomal RNA", at positions 633 to 955 of the family's 3401-position model. The record is from RNAcentral. Lineage: Eukaryota; Metazoa; Nematoda; Chromadorea; Desmodorida; Desmodoridae.